This 433-nucleotide ribosomal RNA is filed under the name uncultured bacterium. RNAcentral's name for it is "partial 16S ribosomal RNA". It matches the Rfam family "Bacterial small subunit ribosomal RNA", at positions 29 to 507 of the family's 1533-position model. The record is from RNAcentral.
AACGAACGCUGGCGGCAUGCCUAACACAUGCAAGUCGAACGAGACCUUCGGGUCUAGUGGCGCACGGGUGCGUAACGCGUGGGAAUCUGCCCUUGGGUUCGGAAUAACAGUUGGAAACGACUGCUAAUACCGGAUGAUGACGUAAGUCCAAAGAUUUAUCGCCCAGGGAUGAGCCCGCGUAGGAUUAGCUCGUUGGUGGGGUAAAGGCCUACCAAGGCGACGAUCCUUAGCUGGUCUGAGAGGAUGAUCAGCCACACUGGGACUGAGACACGGCCCAGACUCCUACGGGAGGCAGCAGUGGGGAAUAUUGGACAAUGGGCGAAAGCCUGAUCCAGCAAUGCCGCGUGAGUGAUGAAGGCCUUAGGGUAGUAAAGCUCUUUUACCCGGGAUGAUAAUGACAGUACCGGGAGAAUAAGCCCCGGCUAACUCCGUG